CAGGGAGACAACAAAAUGUAAAUAUUAAUUUUGUCACCUUAGGUCGAUCGGUAUCUCAGAUUCUUAAUUUAUUUAAGAAUUUCAGUUUCUAAGUUUUUUCUAGGUCACACCCAUUACUUUUCCUGGGCCAUUAGCUCAGGUGGUUAGAGCGCACCCCUGAUAAGGGUGAGGUCCCUGGUUCAAGUCCAGGAUGGCCCAUACUCUAUGUUGGGGGUAUAGCUCAGUUGGUAGAGCGCCUGCUUUGCAAGCAGGAUGUCAGCGGUUCGAGUCCGCUUACCUCCACUGAAUACCACCUCUUUCAUAAUUGCAUUUAAGGAAAUUGUAUUGAGAUGUGUUCUAUUCAAUCUGAACGAAUCUAGCUUCCUAAUUAAUUGAUAAAUUCAUUAAGAUGCUGGACUCAUUGAAUUCUAUUCAUUGAUUUCAGAGAACCUUGACAACUGCAUAGAUUAUUUUUGAAGACAAUAAGCAUCUUUUAAUGAUGCAGAUUUUUUAUUUGUGCUAAUGCAUUAAUAACAAUUCUAUUGAGCUGAUGCUUCAA
RNAcentral lists this transfer RNA (538 nucleotides) under uncultured Prochlorococcus sp. RNAcentral describes it as "partial 16S-23S ribosomal RNA intergenic spacer". The stretch from base 210 to 282 matches the Rfam family "tRNA". The record is from RNAcentral. Lineage: Bacteria; Bacillati; Cyanobacteriota; Cyanophyceae; Synechococcales; Prochlorococcaceae.